RNAcentral lists this signal recognition particle RNA (308 nucleotides) under Saccharolobus sp. RNAcentral's name for it is "signal recognition particle sRNA". It matches the Rfam family "Archaeal signal recognition particle RNA". Lineage: Archaea; Thermoproteati; Thermoproteota; Thermoprotei; Sulfolobales; Sulfolobaceae. The record is from RNAcentral.
GGGCCAGGGAGGGUGGGGAGUCUCGCCAGCUCCUGUAACCCGCAUGGCGUAAUGCGGGCACCAGUAACCCCUGCCCUAUAGUGUCUCCUAUCUAUAGGUCCUGGUGGAUCAAUGAAGGCCGCCCAGUGGGGCUUGGCGGACGUGGGCUUCUCCUCCGGAGGGAGGGGAAGUACCACGUUAACCGGGGGAAUCGGUCAGGCCCGGAAGGGAGCAGCCGUGCCCGGACGCCGGCGUUCACUGGUCUACGGCCUGAGUGAAGCCAGGGUAAACCUAUAGAUAGGCAGGCUAUGGGGUAGGGGGGCUGGCCC